Cynocephalus volans (Philippine flying lemur) is the source of this 107-nucleotide small nuclear RNA. The record is from RefSeq and is a predicted model, not a curated record. NCBI's taxonomy places the organism in Eukaryota, Metazoa, Chordata, Mammalia, Dermoptera, Cynocephalidae.
GUGCUCGCUUUGGCAGUACAUAUACUAAGAUUGGAACGACACAGAGAAGAUUAGCAUGCCCCCUGCAUAAGAAUUUCAUGCAAAUUUGUGAAGCGUUAUAUAUAUUU